Molecule: ribosomal RNA, 459 nt
Filed under: uncultured bacterium
Lineage: Bacteria
Description: partial 16S ribosomal RNA
Rfam family: Bacterial small subunit ribosomal RNA
Source: RNAcentral
CUACGGGGCGCACCAGUAAGGAAUAUUGCGCAAUGGAGGCAACUCUGACGCAGCCAUGCCGCGUGCAGGAAGAAGGCCUUAUGGGUCGUAAACUGCUUUUAUUUAGGAAUAAACCCCCGAACGUGUUCGGGGCUGAAGGUACUAAACGAAUAAGCGCCGGCUAACUCCGUGCCAGCAGCCGCGGUAAUACGGAGGGUGCAAGCGUUAUCCGGAUUUAUUGGGUUUAAAGGGUGCGCAGGCGGGCUAUUAAGUCAGUGGUGAAAUCCCGGGGCUCAACUCCGGAACUGCCAUCGAUACUGAUAGUCUUGAGUUUGGUUGAAGUGGGCGGAAUGUAGCAUGUAGCGGUGAAAUGCAUAGAUAUGCUACAGAACACCAAUCGCGAAGGCAGCUCACUAAGCCAAAACUGACGCUCAUGCACGAAAGCGUGGGGAUCAAACAGGAUUAGAUACCCUAGUAGUC